CUACGGGAGGCAGCAGUGGGGAAUAUUGCACAAUGGGCGAAAGCCUGAUGCAGCAACGCCGCGUGAGGGACGACGGCCUUCGGGUUGUAAACCUCUUUUAGCAGGGAAGAAGCGAAAGUGACGGUACCUGCAGAAAAAGCACCGGCUAACUACGUGCCAGCAGCCGCGGUAAUACGUAGGGUGCAAGCGUUGUCCGGAAGUAUUGGGCGUAAAGAGCUCGUAGGCGGUUUGUCGCGUCUGCUGUGAAAAUCCGAGGCUCAACCUCGGACCUGCAGUGGGUACGGGCAAACUAGAGUGCGGUAGGGGAGAUUGGAAUUCCUGGUGUAGCAGUGGAAUGCGCAGAUAUCAGGAGGAACACCAAUGGCGAAGGCAGAUCUCUGGGCCGUAACUGACGCUGAGGAGCGAAAGCGUGGGGAGCGAACAGGAUUAGAUACCCGAGUAGUC
RNAcentral lists this ribosomal RNA (444 nucleotides) under uncultured bacterium. RNAcentral's name for it is "partial 16S ribosomal RNA". It matches the Rfam family "Bacterial small subunit ribosomal RNA", at positions 339 to 795 of the family's 1533-position model. The record is from RNAcentral.